CUUANGUGGGGAAUAACGCAUCGAAAGUUGCGCUAAUACCGCAUAUUCUCUANGGAGGAAAGNGGGGGCUCGCAAGACCUCAUGCUUUUANAGCGGCCGAUAUCUGAUUAGCUAGUUGGUAGGGNAAAAGCCUACCAAGGCAUCNAUCANUAGCUGGUCUGAGAGGACGACCAGCCACACUGGAACUGAGACACGGUCCAGACUCCUACGGGAGGCAUGCAGUGGGGAAUUUUGGACAAUGGACGCAAGCCUGAUCCAGCAAUGCCGCGUGAGUGAAGAAGGCCUUCGGGUUGUAAAGCUCUUUUGUCAGGGAAGAAACGGUGAUCUCUAAUAUAGGUCACUAAUGACGGUACCUGAAGAAUAAGCACCGGCUGAACUACGUGCCAGCAGCCGCGGUAAUACGUAGGGUGCAAGCGUUAAUCGGAAUUACUGGGCGUAAAGCGUGCGCAGGCGGUUAUGUAAGUCAGAUGUGAAAUCCCCGGGCUCAACCUGGGAAUGGCAUUUGAGACUGCAUGGCUAGAGUGUGUCAGAGGGGGGUAGAAUUCCACGUGUAGCAGUGAAAUGCGUAGAGAUGUGGAGGAAUACCGAUGGCGAAGGCAGCCCCCUGGGAUAACACUGACGCUCAUGCACGAAAGCGUGGGGAGCAAACAGGAUUAGAUACCCUGGUAGUCCACGCCCUAAACGAUGUCUACUAGUUGUCGGGACUUAAUUGUCUUGGUAACGCAGCUAACGCGUGAAGUAGACCGCCUGGGGAGUACGGUCGCAAGAUUAAAACUCAAAGGAAUUGACGGGGACCCGCACAAGCGGUGGAUGAUGUGGAUUAAUUCGAUGCAACGCGAAAAACCUUACCUACCCUUGACAUGGNUGGAAUCUUUGAGAGAUCAGAGAGUGCUCNCAAGAGAACCAAUACACAGGUGCUGCAUGGCUGUCGUCAAGCUCGUGUCGUGAGAUGUUGGGUUAAGUCCCGCAACGAGCGCAACCCUUGUCAUUAAUUGCCAUCAUUUAGUUGGGCACUUUAAUGAGACUGCCGGUGACAAACCGGAGGAAGGUGGGGAUGACGUCAAGUCCUCAUGGCCCUUAUGGGUAGGGCUUCACACGUAA
This 1101-nucleotide ribosomal RNA is filed under the name uncultured bacterium. RNAcentral describes it as "bacterial SSU rRNA". It matches the Rfam family "Bacterial small subunit ribosomal RNA", at positions 131 to 1225 of the family's 1533-position model. The record is from RNAcentral.